UAUACAGUGUAUGUACAUGGAGGGAA
Molecule: non-coding RNA, 26 nt
Filed under: Mus musculus (house mouse)
Lineage: Eukaryota; Metazoa; Chordata; Mammalia; Rodentia; Muridae
Source: RNAcentral